RNAcentral lists this long non-coding RNA (1314 nucleotides) under Glycine max (soybean). Its description in RNAcentral is "long non-coding RNA (GMAX_LNC000680)". Lineage: Eukaryota; Viridiplantae; Streptophyta; Magnoliopsida; Fabales; Fabaceae. The record is from RNAcentral.
AGGUGAUAAUCUUUUUUCCUCAAAAUGUUAAAACUCUAACGACUACUUUAACAUUCACGUUUUCAUUCUAUUUUUCCUCCUACUCAUACUCUCAUCCAAUUCUUAUUCUUCUCCUAUUCAUCUUUCUCCAUCCUUGUAGUUCUUCUUAUAUUAUUUUGUGGUCUACCUAAUUCAAGCACAAGAGAGAAUGUCACGUCAAAUCGUCUUUGCUAUUGUCGUAGAAGAGCUACCUCUAUUGGAAAGCACCGAUUGCGUCAAUCUGAAAGGUGACAAUGAUCGACGUGGAACACACAAAAGCACUGAUUGCGUCAAUGAACAGUAAAGGGUGACGAAGAACGGCAACCACCAUCACCACUGGGAGAGCGAUGAUCGACGUGGACCUAGCACAAGAACGAUACCCUUCAACCAUAAGAGGGAGAAAAUGGUGAGAGAGAAUUCAUCACGUUUUCAAUUAGACUGAAAACUAUUAGAGAUUAAUUUGACACUAUAUACAAAAAUUGAUUAUUCAUUUUCCAAUAUAACAUUUUAAAUUAUGUCAUAUUAGUCCUCAUGACAUGACAUUGUUUAUUUCCUAAUUACAAUUGUCACGUUUGCGUCCAGGUGACACUUAACGUGUCACAUCACACAUUUACUAACGGUGUUAACGGCAGAUAUUAACGUGACAAACAAAAUAUAAAAUCGAGGAUCAUUUUGAUAUUUUUUAAAUCUCAGACAUCAAAUUGACAGCGCCUUAAAAAAUGAGGGACUAAUUUGAUAUUUACUUUAUAAUUAAGAAGUACAAAUCCUAUCUAGUUAAAAUUGUUGGUUAUAAUCCUCUCCUCUAAUUAACUAAUAUUGUAAAAAUAAAUGUUAUUAAUACAAUACUAAUUCUGUUUAUUUUACAUAAUAAUAUAAUUAGAUCUUAAAUUUCUAAAACACCAAUAAUUAUAAAAUAGAAUUAAAAAUUCAAAGCAUAAGAGGGUAUAUAUCUCAUAUUAUAAAAUAAAAAUAUAAGAUUACUUAAAAUCCCUCUCCCUCGAUAUGCUACAUGCAAAUGACAUAGUGUUGGACGAAACCCGAGGUAUUAGCUGCUAAAUAUGCUGAGUUUAGAAAUAACCUUGAUUUUUAGUUCUUCUAGUCAGUCCCCAGGCCCAGGCUCAAGAAAAUCCUCUCAGCUGCAAUGGAAACUGUACUCUCGGAUCAAAACCCUCCCUAUCCCUAUGUCACUCUUCACUUCAUUUAUGUACCUCUGCCUCUACCCUUUUCAUUGCAUUGUUUCACACACCACAUUCGUCCAAAACCAACUCAUUAAAAAAUUAAUUAAAACACACACAC